This 63-nucleotide non-coding RNA is filed under the name Streptomyces phage R4. The record is from RNAcentral. Lineage: Duplodnaviria; Heunggongvirae; Uroviricota; Caudoviricetes.
AGGCGAAACCCCGCAAGGGGUCCGGCCGGGGUGGUUCCCGGUCGCUGACGAUGCCAGCCUGCA